Molecule: small nuclear RNA, 106 nt
Organism: Peromyscus maniculatus bairdii (prairie deer mouse)
Lineage: Eukaryota; Metazoa; Chordata; Mammalia; Rodentia; Cricetidae
Source: Ensembl
AUGCUCGCUUUGGUGGCACGAAUCCUAACAUUGUAAUGAUACAAAGAAGAUUAGCAUGGCCCAGGGCAUGGAGGACAUGCAAAUUUGUGAUGCGUGCCUUAUUUUU